This 457-nucleotide ribosomal RNA is filed under the name Gemella haemolysans. Its description in RNAcentral is "bacterial SSU rRNA". It matches the Rfam family "Bacterial small subunit ribosomal RNA", at positions 28 to 471 of the family's 1533-position model. The record is from RNAcentral. Lineage: Bacteria; Bacillati; Bacillota; Bacilli; Caryophanales; Gemellaceae.
GACGAACGCUGGCGGCGUGCCUAAUACAUGCAAGUCGAGCGAAGUUUUUCUGGUGCUUGCACCGGAAAAACUUAGCGGCGAACGGGUGAGUAACACGUAAAGAACCUGCCUCAUAGACUGGGACAACUAUUGGAAACGAUAGCUAAUACCGGAUAACAGCAUUAACUGCAUGGUUGAUGUUUAAAAGUUGGUUUUGCUAACACUAUGAGAUGGCUUUGCGGUGCAUUAGCUAGUUGGUGGGGUAAAGGCCUACCAAGGCGACGAUGCAUAGCCGACCUGAGAGGGUGAUCGGCCACACUGGGACUGAGACACGGCCCAGACUCCUACGGGAGGCAGCAGUAGGGAAUCUUCCGCAAUGGGCGAAAGCCUGACGGAGCAACGCCGCGUGAGUGAAGAAGGAUUUCGGUUCGUAAAGCUCUGUUGUUAGGGAAGAAUGAUUGUGUAGUAACUAUACACG